UGGGGAAUUUUCCGCAAUGGGGGCAACCCUGACGGAGCAACGCCGCGUGCGGGAGGACGGCCUGUGGGUUGUAAACCGCUUUUCUCUAGGAAGAAGAUCUGACGGUACUAGAGGAAUCAGCAUCGGCUAACUCCGUGCCAGCAGCCGCGGUAAGACGGAGGAUGCAAGCGUUAUCCGGAAUUAUUGGGCGUAAAGAGUCCGUAGGCGGUAAUUCAAGUCAGUUGUUAAAGACUGCAGCUCAACUGUGGGCGAGCAACUGAAACUGAGUUACUAGAGAGCGGUAGGGGUAGAGGGAAUUCCCAGUGUAGCGGUGAAAUGCGUAGAUAUUGGGAAGAACACCAGUGGCGAAGGCGCUCUACUGGGCCGUAACUGACGCUGAGGGACGAAAGCUAGGGGAGCGAAAGGGAUUAGAUACCCGCGUAGUCC
This 426-nucleotide ribosomal RNA is filed under the name uncultured prokaryote. RNAcentral's name for it is "bacterial SSU rRNA". It matches the Rfam family "Bacterial small subunit ribosomal RNA", at positions 355 to 796 of the family's 1533-position model. The record is from RNAcentral.